GAUGAAGAACGUAGCGAAAUGCGAUACGUAAUGUGAAUUGCAGAAUUCAGUGAAUCAUCGAAUCUUUGAACGCAAAUUGCGCUCUUUGGUAUUCCGAAGAGCAUGCUUGUUUGAGUAUCAUGAACACCUCAACUCUUUAUGGUUUUCCAUGAUGAGCUUGGACUCUGGGGGUUUUGCUGGCUCACAGUCGGCUCCUCUAAAAUGAAUCAGCUUACCAGUGUUUGGUGGGUAUCAUGGGUGUGAUAACUAUCUACGCUUGUGGUUUUUCCACCAGGUAACCUUCAGCAGUGGAGGUUCGCUGGAGCUCAUAGAUGUCUCUCCUCAAUGAGGACAGCCCUUUGAAUGUUUGAUCUCAAAUCAGGUAGGACUACCCGCUGAACUUAAGCAUAUCAAUAAGCGGAGGA
This 404-nucleotide unclassified non-coding RNA is filed under the name soil metagenome. RNAcentral describes it as "partial contains 5.8S ribosomal RNA, internal transcribed spacer 2, and large subunit ribosomal RNA". The stretch from base 1 to 120 matches the Rfam family "5.8S ribosomal RNA", at positions 35 to 154 of the family's 154-position model. The record is from RNAcentral.